RNAcentral lists this ribosomal RNA (372 nucleotides) under uncultured organism. Its description in RNAcentral is "partial 16S ribosomal RNA". It matches the Rfam family "Bacterial small subunit ribosomal RNA", at positions 527 to 896 of the family's 1533-position model. The record is from RNAcentral.
GUAGGUGGCAAGCGUUGUCCGGAAUUAUUGGGCGUAAAGCGCGCGCAGGCGGUUCUUUAAGUCUGAUGUGAAAGCCCACGGGCUCAACCGUGGAGGGUCACUGGAAACUGGAGAACUUGAGUACAGAAGAGGAAAGCGGAAUUCCACGUGUAGCGGUGAAAUGCGUAGAGAUGUGGAGGAACACCAGUGGCGAAGGCGGCUUUCUGGUCUGUAACUGACGCUGAGGCGCGAAAGCGUGGGGAGCAAACAGGAUUAGAUACCCUGGUAGUCCACGCCGUAAACGAUGAGUGCUAAGUGUUAGGGGGUUUCCGCCCCUUAGUGCUGCAGCUAACGCAUUAAGCACUCCGCCUGGGGAGUACGGCCGCAAGGCUG